RNAcentral lists this ribosomal RNA (411 nucleotides) under uncultured prokaryote. RNAcentral's name for it is "bacterial SSU rRNA". It matches the Rfam family "Bacterial small subunit ribosomal RNA", at positions 505 to 918 of the family's 1533-position model. The record is from RNAcentral.
GUGUCAGCCGCCGCGGUAAUACGGAGGAUCCAAGCGUUAUCCGGAUUCAUUGGGUUUAAAGGGUGCGUAGGCGGAACGAUAAGUCAGUGGUGAAAGCCUGCAGCUUAACUGCAGAACUGCCAUUGAUACUGUCGAUCUUGAGUACAUUUGAUGUGGGCGGAAUGUGUCAUGUAGCGGUGAAAUGCUUAGAUAUGACACAGAACACCGAUUGCGAAGGCAGCUCACAAAACUGUAACUGACGCUGAGGCACGAAAGCGUGGGUAUCAAACAGGAUUAGAUACCCUGGUAGUCCACGCCGUAAACUAUGAUUACUCGAUGUUUGCGAUACACAGUAAGCGUCUAAGCGAAAGCGAUAAGUAAUCCACCUGGGGAGUACGCUCGCAAGAGUGAAACUUAAAUGAAUUGACGGGG